GAUGAACGCUGGCGGCGUGCCUAAUACAUGCAAGUCGAGCGAACGGACGAGAAGCUUGCUUCUCUGAUGUUAGCGGCGGACGGGUGAGUAACACGUGGAUAACCUACCUAUAAGACUGGGAUAACUUCGGGAAACCGGAGCUAAUACCGGAUGAUAUUUUGAACCGCAUGGUUCAAAAGUGAAAGACGGUCUUGCUGUCACUUAUAGAUGGAUCCGCGCUGCAUUAGCUAGUUGGUAAGGUAACGGCUUACCAAGGCAACGAUGCAUAGCCGACCUGAGAGGGUGAUAGGCCACACUGGAACUGGGACACGGUCCAGACUCCUAAGGGAGGCAGCAGUAGGGAAUCUUCCGCAAUGGGCGAAAGCCUGACGGAGCCACGCCGCGGGAGUGAUGAAGGUCUUCGGAUCGUAAAACUCUGUUAUUAGGGAAGAACAUAUGUGUAAGUAACUGUGCACAUCUUGACGGUACCUAAUCAGAAAGCCACGGAUAACUACGUG
Molecule: ribosomal RNA, 497 nt
Filed under: uncultured bacterium
Lineage: Bacteria
Description: partial 16S ribosomal RNA
Rfam family: Bacterial small subunit ribosomal RNA
Source: RNAcentral